RNAcentral lists this ribosomal RNA (445 nucleotides) under Streptococcus sp. oral taxon 071. Its description in RNAcentral is "bacterial SSU rRNA". It matches the Rfam family "Bacterial small subunit ribosomal RNA", at positions 28 to 463 of the family's 1533-position model. Lineage: Bacteria; Bacillati; Bacillota; Bacilli; Lactobacillales; Streptococcaceae. The record is from RNAcentral.
GACGAACGCUGGCGGCGUGCCUAAUACAUGCAAGUAGAACGCUGAAGAGAGGAGCUUGCUCUUCUUGGAUGAGUUGCGAACGGGUGAGUAACGCGUAGGUAACCUGCCUGGUAGCGGGGGAUAACUAUUGGAAACGAUAGCUAAUACCGCAUAAAAUUGAUUAUCGCAUGAUAAUCAAUUGAAAGGUGCAAAUGCAUCACUACCAGAUGGACCUGCGUUGUAUUAGCUAGUUGGUGGGGUAACGGCUCACCAAGGCGACGAUACAUAGCCGACCUGAGAGGGUGAUCGGCCACACUGGGACUGAGACACGGCCCAGACUCCUACGGGAGGCAGCAGUAGGGAAUCUUCGGCAAUGGACGGAAGUCUGACCGAGCAACGCCGCGUGAGUGAAGAAGGUUUUCGGAUCGUAAAGCUCUGUUGUAAGAGAAGAACGAGUGUGAGAGUG